AACCUGCCCAAGAGAUCGGGAUAACACCUGGAAACAGAUGCUAAUACCGGAUAACAAUAGAUGAUGCCUAUCAACUGUUUAAAAGAUGGUUCUGCUAUCACUCUUGGAUGGACCUGCGGUGCAUUAGCUAGUUGGUAGGGUAACGGCCUACCAAGGCGAUGAUGCAUAGCCGAGUUGAGAGACUGAUCGGCCACAUUGGGACUGAGACACGGCCCAAACUCCUACGGGAGGCAGCAGU
This 238-nucleotide ribosomal RNA is filed under the name uncultured Lactobacillus sp. RNAcentral's name for it is "partial 16S ribosomal RNA". It matches the Rfam family "Bacterial small subunit ribosomal RNA", at positions 123 to 355 of the family's 1533-position model. The record is from RNAcentral. Lineage: Bacteria; Bacillati; Bacillota; Bacilli; Lactobacillales; Lactobacillaceae.